AGAGUUUGAUCCUGGCUCAGGAUGAAUGUUGGCGGCGUGCUUAACACAUGCAAGUCGAACGAACCUUCGGGUUAGUGGCGGACGGGUGAGUAACGCGUGAAAAUCUGCCCUCAGGAGGGGGAUAACAGUUGGAAACGACUGCUAAUACCCCAUAUGCCGAGAGGUAAAAUGAAUUUUGCCUGGGGAUGAGCUCGCGUCUGAUUAGCUUGUUGGUGGGGUAAAGGCCUACCAAGGCUUCGAUCAGUAGCUGGUCUGAGAGGACGAUCAGCCACACUGGGACUGAGACACGGCCCAGACUCCUACGGGAGGCAGCAGUGGGGAAUUUUCCGCAAUGGGCGCAAGCCUGACGGAGCAACGCCGCGUGAGGGAUGGAGGCCUUUGGGCUGUAAACCUCUUUUCUCAAGGAAAAAGAUCUGACGGUACUUGAGGAAUAAGCCACGGCUAAUUCCGUGCCAGCAGCCGCGGUAAUACGGGAGUGGCAAGCGUUAUCCGGAAUUAUUGCGCCUAAAGCGUCUGCAGGCGGCCGUUUAAGUCUGUUGUUAAAUCGUGGAGCUCAACUCCAUCACGGCAAUGGAAACUGUUC
Molecule: ribosomal RNA, 583 nt
Filed under: uncultured bacterium
Lineage: Bacteria
Description: bacterial SSU rRNA
Rfam family: Bacterial small subunit ribosomal RNA
Source: RNAcentral